Molecule: ribosomal RNA, 437 nt
Filed under: uncultured Oscillospiraceae bacterium
Lineage: Bacteria; Bacillati; Bacillota; Clostridia; Eubacteriales; Oscillospiraceae
Description: bacterial SSU rRNA
Rfam family: Bacterial small subunit ribosomal RNA
Source: RNAcentral
ACGGGAGGCAGCAGUGGGGAAUAUUGGGCAAUGGGCGAAAGCCUGACCCAGCGACGCCGCGUGAGGGAAGAAGGUCUUCGGAUUGUAAACCUCUUUCAGCAGGGAAGAAGGAAGUGACGGUACCUGCAGAAGAAGUCACGGCUAACUACGUGCCAGCAGCCGCGGUAAUACGUAGGUGGCGAGCGUUAUCCGGAAUUACUGGGUGUAAAGGGUGUGUAGGCGGGGAGGCAAGUCAGAUGUGAAAACCAAAGGCUCAACCUUUGGCCUGCAUUUGAAACUGUUUUUCUUGAGAGUGGGAGAGGUAAACGGAAUUCCUGGUGUAGUAGUGAAAUGCGUAGAUAUCAGGAGGAACACCGGUGGCGAAGGCGGUUUACUGGACCACAACUGACGCUGAGACACGAAAGCGUGGGGAGCAAACAGGAUUAGAUACCCUGGUA